GUAUUUUUCUCUGUUAUUUUACUACAUGGUUGUGUGUGCUAUUUUACUACGUGUGUGUGGGCAUGUGUGUAUCUAUUUAUAUCUUGUCCCACUUGUCUACUAAGAUCUUAGCGUUGGGACGCCUGGGUGGCUCAGUCAGUGAAGCAUCAGAUGCUUGGUUUCAGCUCAGGUCAUGAUCUCAUGGUUGGGGAGUUGGAGCCCCGCAAAGGGGCUGACAGCAUGGAGCCUGCUUGAGAGUCUCUCUCUCCCUCUCUCUCGGACCCUCCCCCACUCGCUCUCUCUGUCUCUCUCUCAAAAUAAAGAAACUUAAAAAAAAAAUCUUAACAUUUUUCUCAUUGCUUGUAUUCACCCUUUAAGAAAUAGGUUUGCAAAGCAGAGUAUUUCGCUUUAAGUAACUCUGGUCUCCAUAAAUAUCUUCAUCCAUUUGGGGAAGAACUGAAACCGGACAGGUUUAUAGAACAUUUAGAAAUUUUGUUGGCCCCUGACAAGCACCAGCAUCAGACCAAAGCUUAUGCAAAUUUUUGAAAAGCUUUUUUUUUCCCAUUUCGUUGAUCUCCAAUAUCCUCCCAGUUGAUUUCACUCCACCCAUUCCCCCCCCUCAGCCCCCGUAUCACCAUAACAAUUUAGGUACUAUGACAAGCACUGGGACAUUUUCAGAAGAGGGAAAAGCAGUCUGCGUGGUGGUUCUUAGGAGAGACUUGCCUGACCCAGUGUCCCCUGGUCCUUACACACAUCUGACUGCGCACGGCCACAGACAAGAGGUUGUAUCAUGCCACAAUUUGUGUGAUCUCUGCGAUUCUCAUAACGGCAUCACUAUGUGGUGCUAAGACAUAGAAUAAGGAUGUUAGAUUCAGGUGACCUGACUGCCAUGUCCCCAAACCUACGGCCCAUCCCCAAGCAAUCUGUGUCUUUUUUUUUUUUUGAACGUUUAUUUAUUACUGAGAGACAAAGAGAGACAGAGCAUGAGCAGGGAAGAGGCAGUGAGAGAGAGGGAGACACAGAAUCCGAAGCAGGCUCCAGGCUCUGAGCUGUCAGCACAGACCCCGACGCGGUGCCCGAACUCACAGACCGAGAGAUCAUGACCUGAGCCGAAGUCGGACUCCUAACCGCCUGAGCCACCCAGGCGCCCCAAUCUGUGUCUUUUAAGACAGAAGUUCUCAUGCUUUGGGAGUGUCAGAAUUACGUAGAGAGCUAAGAACAAACACAGAGUCCCAAACCUAUGGAAAUAGGAUGAAGCGUAGACCUCUAUAAGUCUGCCAAGUUCUCCAGGUGAUUCUGUUUCAUACCAAAGUUUGAGAACCAUUGUUUGCAAGCUGUCAAAUAAAAGGAAACUAUCCUUAAAAGUAUAAGAUUAAAAACUUGUAUCAGCUGGAGGUUUAGCUUGGAUUAAGUGGUGAGAGGAACCACUGGGCGCAAUGGCAAAUAAAAUAACCUGUAUGGGCAGGCACACCGUGAAUUUAGGAUCCUGAAACGGUUCUCUUUCUAGGCCUAGAUCAUGGUUCAGCAAUCAGCUUUAAAAAAAAAAAAACACCUGAGUAUACUAAAGUAAAUGCCCAUGUAACCCAUACUGUGACCGUAUGACUGGUGGAUGGAGACAACACCCAUCUUUUCUAUGGUUUCCCUCUGCAUUCAGUGGGGAUAACCCUUGCCCAUCCCCCAUGGGAGUAUGGCAGGUCCCAUGACUUUUCUCUUUCUCCAAGGUACAAGUCCUUAAGCGCAAGCAUAGUUUCAAGUCUGAGACCGGAAAGCUCCACCUUAACUAUGAUGACGAAUCUUCCCCCAGCCGGAGUGGGCUUGGGGCCAGCAGCCUGCAGUGGUGAAGAGGGGGAAGAAUGCAUGGUCGGCUUCUUGUCUUCUCUUGGUGCCACUGCUCAUUUCUUCUCCUCCUCCAGCUGGCCAGCCAGUUUCUGACCUCUUCGGGUUGAAUGAAUACUCAGAUGUAAGAAAGCUCCAGUAAUUCCCCUACUGGCUAUGUACCCAAUGAAAACAAAAACACGAAUUCAAUAAGAUACAUGCACCUCUAUGUUUAUUGAAGCAUUAUUUAUAAUAACCAAGAUAUGGCAGCAACCCAAGUGUCCAUCGAUAGACGAACAAAGAAGAUGGGAUAUGUGCUAUCUACAAGAUAUACAUCCGGUGGAAUGUUAUUCAACUGGAAACAAGAAUGAGAUCUUGUCGUUUGUGACAACAUGGAUGGACCUGGAGGGCAUUAUGCUAAGUGAAAUAAAUCAGACAGAGAAAGGCAAAUAUAAUAUGAUUUCACUUAUACGUAAAAUCUAAAAAAUAACACGAAGAAACAAACGAACAAAGCGACUCUUAAAUACAGCAAACAAACUGGGGGUUGCCAGAGGUAAGAGACGGUGGUGGGGAGCCUGGCAAAAAAAGUAGAUGAAGAGGCUAAAGAGGCACAAACUUCCAGUUAUAAAACCACCAAUUACAGAGAUGAAAAGUACAGCACAGGGGAAAGAGACAAUAAUCUUGCAGCCAUGUUGCCUGGUGACUACACCGGGGCAGGGAGCAUUGGGUAAUGUAUGGAACUGCCAAUUCAAUACGUUGCAGCCCUGAAACUCAGAUAACAUUGCCUGUCAACUAUACCUAAACAUUUUUGGGAAAAAUGCUCUUAGAGAACUGCAGAACGGGUACUGUUAGAAGCUGGCUUUGCAUUUUCUGUGCCUGACAGUUAUCCCAAAGCUGCCUCUUUACGUGGGGUUUCUUAGGUCUUCUGGAAGAUUUCCUGGAGAUUUCCCUCCUAUAGGUCAUUUCACUUGUUUCAUGCACCUGUGUUCCCACUGUUCUCUUGUGACUCGUUUGUGACCGCUUCCACUUUCCGGCCGUUAGUGUCCUCUGCUCUCCAAGCGACCCCAUGACCAGGACGCUGAAUGACCUUUAGCUGGAUCUCUCCCCUGUGACCUACCAUCUGAUCCAUUGAACGUGCUCAUAAGUAAUCCUGGCUGAUCCCAACACAACCUUCACCUUGGUGGCCCGGGCCGCUUUCACCAUCCUUGGUCAGGAGUCAGGCUGCAUCCUUGAGUCUCCCUGAUGCAGGAAAAUUGUCAUUUCAGACUCUCUGAGAGGUGUUGUAGAAGCCUGGGAAGGAAGUGGCAGUCCUUUCUCAUUUCCAUUCCACACCUGUAACCAGAAAUGGAAGCUCUCCUCGGGAAAAUCCUCUCCAGAAUAAUCUCUUCAAAACUCCUGUAGGAUCGAAGAGCCCUGGAAAUGGCUCUCGGGGUUUCCUGGGUAAAUUCUGCAUAUGGUGAUCUGGUUUUGGAAUAUCGUAUUUGUUGCAUGUGAUCGUCCCGGCGAAACUUACGUUUUAACAUUAUUUUCCUAUAGUUUUAGAUAUCCUGCCAUAAGCCGCAUUUAGGGAGGCCAUAGUUCAGGACGAUCUUUUUCCUAGAUCAGGUGCUCUUGGAGACAGGAAGAGAUGGUUGGAAAAUGGUACAGUUGAUGCUUUACUUUAGUAGACAUUGUUUUCAAUGUAGAAUAUACAUGGAGAGGAGUACACGAUGAUGAGGGCCCAGCUCCAUGAACUUAACAAAGUAAACACGCCCACGUAACAAGCACUCAGAUCCAGAUAGAGAACAUUACCAGCUUCCAGAAGCCCCCUUUCCCAUCUGAAUUCUCCCAGAGUAAUUAAUAUCCUAAAUAUAGGUCCAAUUUUUUUCCUGCUUUUGAAGUUUAUAGAAGUAGAAUCUUUUUUGUCUAGGCAACAUUAUGUUUGGGAAAUUCACUCCUAUUUCUACCUUUAUUUUUUUUAAUUUUUUAAUCUUUAUUUAUUUUUGAGAGAGAGACAGAGUGUGAGCAGGGGAGGAGCAGACAGAGAGGGAGACACAGAAUCCGAACGAGGCAGGCUCCAGGCCCGGAGCUGUCAGCACAGAGCCCAACACGAGGCUGGAACUCACGAACCGUGAGAUCACGACCUGAGCCAAAGUCGGACGCUCAACCGACUGAGCCACCCAGGUGCCCCUCCUAUUUCUACCUUUAGUUGGAGAUCAUCCAUCUCCUUACUGUGUGGCCGUGGUAUGAAUAUACCUGGACGGUUAAUAUUUGAUCAGUAAAUCUCUUCGUUAAGGGUAGCUCAACAUUGACCACAUCCUCCCCAGACCUUCUCCAAUUCCAGCCUGCAUCCACAGAAGGACUCGAGUCACCCCAAUGACUUGCCUUGGGUGUCAGGAUAAAGCAGUUAAACUCCUGCAAUCUUUUCAAAACCAUUUACAAGGUUAGGAUCUUUCAAGGAGAAGUUUAUUAUUUAUUCCUAUUCUUGACAUUCUCUCCCAUCCAUCUGCCCUUUUCACUUGGGUGAUUUAGGACCAUAGAAUGUUUGAACUGGAUACAAACACAUCUCCUGGGAAACAUUUCGCAGAAAUUCUGAUAGCAGCUGUAUGAGUUUCUGUUUCCUCCGAAAUUAAGAAUGCUGGAGAUUGGCAUGUCGUCUGGGGUAUCUGACCAAAUGGAGAGGGAAGACACAGUGUUACUGCCAUCAAGAGCACCAUAAUCAAAUGGUCCAGGCAGAGCACCUGAAACUGAAGCCGGCAGUCAAGGAGGCUCACCCAUGGGACCACAACUUCCCAGAAAGUUUUUCAGAACCUCACUGGUAACUUUGAACAGAUAACCGAAAAUUAUCAGACAUGUAAGGAAAACCACCAACACCAACAGUUUGCAUUUGUGGAUGCAAAAUGAACAAAUCUUUUGGAAUCUCUAAAAAGACACAAAGAGUUUCAUUCGAGCUCAAGUUGGGGGGACUGCCCGGGAAACUUGCUCUUCACAGGGAAGAAAGUGCUCAGGAGAGUGAAAAGUUUUACAGGGUUGUAUGCUUUUUCACAUUUUGUGAAAGGUCAGAAGGUUGUAAGUUAACAUAUAGGCAGGAAUCGCAAGAUUUAAUGUCAAGGGGGUAGGGGCACUGAUGGAUGUCUUAAGGACAAGACGGUUUUCCUGUAUGUACUUGUUUGCAAGGCAGACCUACGAUGUCUGCUUGGCGGGCCAUAAGGCACGCUUUUGGUUUAAACAAAGUUUAUGUACGUCACACUGACUUAGAAAGAAAUCUAGAAGGCCUUCCUUUAUAAAUCAGGCCUUUAUGAGAGCUUUAGUGAGGGUUUUAUUUUUUCUCAUCAGGGUGGAAACAGGGGUGCCUGCGUGGCUUGGUCAGUUAAGCAUCUGACUUCGGCUCAUGAUAUGAGUUCGAGCCCCACUUGGGGUGAACAUGAGCCCCGGGUGAGCCCCGCUUCUCGCUUUCCCUCUCCCCCUAUCUCCCUCUCUCUCUUUCUGCCCUUCACUCACAUGUACCCUCUCUCUCAAAAAAAAAAAAAAAAAAGGGGGGAGGCCAAAACAAACAAACAAACAAAAGCAACUUGGAAGAAAGCAAGACUCUAAUGGGAUCAGAAAAGUAUUAGUAAUAUGCACAGAAGGAGAAGGGUGAUUUUGUACCCAGGAAACAAGAACAUUAUGUAAUUUUUAAAAGAACUAUUCAUAGAAUUAAAGGGGGCUUUGGGAAAUUGAAAAUAUGUAUGACGGCAGAAUUAAAAAAAAUUCAUAGAGGAGUUCCUGAGUGGCUCAGUCGUUAAGCAUCUCUUAGUUUUGGCUCAGGUCAUGAUCUCGAAGUUCACGCAUGGGUUCGAGCCUUGCAUCAGGCUCUGCAUUGACAGUGCAGAGCCUGCUUGGAACUCUCUCUCUCUCUCUCUCUCUCUCUCUCUCUCUCUGUCCCUCCCCUGCUCAAGUUCUCUCUUUCUCAAAAUACAUGAAUAAACUUUAAAAAAAUUUCAGAGAAAGUUUGCAUGAUAAAGUUGAGCAAACCUCCCAGAAAGUAGAGCAAAAAGAAAGAAAUGGAAAAAAGAGUUGGAAAAAAGAAGAGAAAAGAAAAGAAAAGAAAAGAAAAGAAAAGAAAAGAAAAGAAAAGAAAAGAAAAUUAGAGGACCAGAAUAAGAAGUUCAGUAGCUGCAUGAGAGAAGUUCCAUAAUGAGAGACAGAGAAAACCAAAGGAAGGAAACUGUCAACAAAAUAAUUCCAGAGAGAGAACAUGAGUUUGCAGAUUGUAAGAGCUACUGAGUGUCCGGAUAAUAGAUGAAAUUAGACCUACUCCAAGGUACAUCAUUGUGCAAUUUCCAAACACUGUGCAUUCGUUUGCUGGGGCUUCAGGCAACAUACCACAGAGUGGGUGGCUUAAAUGACAGAAGUUCGUCAUCUCACAGUUUUAGAGGCUGGAAGUCCAAGAUCAAGGUGUUAUGGACCCCAGGAUAGAUUGUUUAAGAAGGUGAAAUUAAAAGAAUGCCUUAUCUAUCUGAACAUAUGAAAAGGACAUUUAGACACGUGUAUGAGACUUUGAGGUGAAUUAGUGAUAAGAAGGCAAGAGGGAGGAAACAAAACUACAAAAACAGAAACAAGAAAAGUAUUAACUUCAGGGAAAAUGAAAAGUCGAGUAGGAAAAAAAAAAUACAGGACAUCAUGAGGUUCCACUGUGAAUACCAUUCACACAUUUCUCAUCAUGUUAAAAUAAAUAUUAAUCUAACCAAGACAAAUAUGACGAAGUGUGGGGAGAUAAGAAACAGUGGUGCAUAUUUGGUGUGCUCUGUGUAGGUGAGGUCAGAAAAAGAGUUCAUUUUUCCCGUGUACAAAUCUGUGAUUAUGUCCAAAAAAGUCAUUAAUCUGCCCCCUUAAGCUUAGUGAGAGUUGGUUGUGGCUCAGUUAGAAACCAAAAACAACACCAACAAGCGUGACUCAGGUUUAAACCUAAGUUAGCAUAGGGGCGCCUGGGUGGCUCAGUCGGUUAAGUGGCCGACUUCGGCUCGGGUCAUGAUCUCGUGGUCCGUGAGUUCGAGCCCCGCGUCGGGCUCUGCGCUGACAGCUCAGAGCCUGGAGCCUGUUUCAGAUUCUGUGUUUCCCUCUCUCUGACCCUCCCCUGUUCAUGCUCUAUCUCUCCCUGUCUCAAAACAAAACAAAAAAAAAAAAAUUUAAACCUAAGAUAGCAAACGCAAAUGCCCAAUGGGGUUAGGCAAAGAGCUUCACCAAGUGAUUUAGACUUGGUAAGAUUGGAUAGGGAAUUAAUGGGGACACAGCAAACCGAAGGACACGGGUUCUGUUCUUCACGUGGACUACCCUUAUUUAGCUCCAGUUAUAAAAACAUGUAUGUAUCACAGGGGCAUCUGGGUGGCUCCGUCCGUUAAGCGUGUGACUUUGGCUCAGGUCACGAUCUCAUGGUUUGUGAGUUCGACCCUUGCAUCAGUCUCUGUGCUGACAGCUCAGAGCUCGGAGCCUGCUUCAGAUUCUGGGUCUCCCUCUCUCUCUGAGCCUCCCUCACUCAUGCUCUUUCUCUCUCUCUCUCAAUAAUAAAUCAAGAGAGAGAGAGAGAGAGAGAGAGAGAGAGAGAAACCAGAUAGGUAAGUUCUCAGAAAUGUAAAUGUCCUGAUUUUAAAAACACCACUUUAUGAAAAAACUUAGCUGUGGGCUAUAUUUGGCCUAUAUACUGCCAGUGAAACCGACGAAGCUUUUUUAUCCUCUCCUGGAGGGUGUGGGAGAGACCUAAUAUCCCUGAAAUUAUAUUGCAUUAGAUUAGUAAAAUUGGUUCUGGAUGAAAAUAAUUUUAAACAGCAAACCAAGGAGCAAAAACCUAUAAAACUAACAAGCCAGAACAAAACAAAACAAAGAAACAAAGCCUCUGGACCUUAACAUUUUUCCAAGGCACAUUGAUGUGAUAAAAUCAGAAUUGCCAAGUGUUUAUAAGAUAUCAAAGAUUAUGCCUUUGACUUCACAUAUUCAGAGAGAUAAUUUAAUUGGGAUGACUUUUACAAACUUACCGGAGAUCUAAACAACAGGAUCAUUUAGGUCCUGCUGAUAUGUAGAAUAUCCAAAGUCCAUUUUUAGUCUGAUGUCAGUAAAUGACUCAUUAUUUCUCUUGACUUCCAGGCUGAUCAGCAUGCUGUGUCAAAUACCAAACAAUGUGUUAGACUUAAGUGUCUAUGUCUGUUAAUGUGCAGAUGAACAAGGGUAAAAAUCAAGCAAAUAAAUGAGAAAAAAUUACUGUAUUGUACAAAUGAGGACAGAAAGUAGAUUAAUGGUUGCCUGGGGCCCAAGGUAGAGAGAAGGCAAUUUGGGGGAUGAUAGGAGUGUUCUAAAACCAGAUUGUCGUGAUUGCUGCACAACUGUAUAAAUGAAUUAAAAUUCUCGAAUUAUGCACUUAACAUGGGUGAAUUUUAUGCUAGGGAAAUUCUAUCUUAAUAAAGCUGUAAUUUUAAAAAAUAAUAAAGGAUGAUAAAAUCAGUGGGCUAAAAUAUGAUGAAAAAGAAGAUAUUUACAUAAUCUCAAAGUGUCUCCCCCCCUAGAUACUUAUUAACUACAAUGUGGAAAAUAGUAACUUUAUGGUGGAGAAACCUGGCAGACAACAUUUAAACCAAGUGAUCAAAGUUAACAUCACCAGUAAAGGGAUGUAUGGAUAUCACGUAACUCCCGAAGGGAGGCACAGGGGGGUAACAUCAACUUGUGAUAGUCUAGCCAAAAAUGCACACCUGAAUUUAAUCCUGAGUAAGCGUAAGACAAACCAGAGUUGAGGGAAAUCUACAAAAUAACUGACCAAGUACUCUUUGAAUGUGUCAAAGUCACGAAAGAGAACAAUGCCCGUGAACAUUAAAGAGAUGUAGGGGCGCCUGGCUGGCUCAGUCAGUGAGGCAUGGCGACCCUUAGUCUUGGGGUUGUGACUUGGAGCCCCAUGCUGGGUGUAGAGAUGACUUAAAAACGUAAAAUCUUAAAAAAAAUUAAAAAUUAAAAAUAAAGAGAUGAGAUAACCAAGUGUAAUGUGAGAUCCUGUAUUGGAUUCUGGUCCAGAAACUGGAUGCCAGUGGGGCAACCAGCAAAACUUGCUUAAUGUCUGUCUGCACAUUGGCUAAUAGCAUCGGGUUGGGGUUAAUCUUCUGCUUUUGAUAAUUGCACCUAAAAAAAAAAUUUUUUUUUUAAAGACAGAUUAUAGGUCACAACGAUAUUUCAUGCAAAACUUGGCAAGACAGAACCUUAUGGAUUCCAGAGUUUCUAGAAUUCAAAGCACUACUUUAGUUAUUCUAUUGCUGAGUAAAGAUAAUAAAGUGAACGUUGACAUUCUGGGGGCCACAGAAGCACAAUGCACAAAGAGCACUGGCCAGGGAGGGCAUAGGUGUGUGCGUGCUCUGUUUCUUUUAUAAUUUAUUAAUUUUUCUCGUCAAUGUUUACUGAAAAAGAGCAAAUAGCUCUCCAGGCAAGUCGAUUGUUAACUUCAAAGUUAUUUAAUCUCCCAGAAUAUAACCUUUAAUUUUAAAGCAUGUCACGACCUUACAAACAUGUUGGUUAAAGGAAAUCUUAGUUGUUCAUUAAAUCUAUGGAAUAUAUAUAUUACAGGGUAUUAAAUGUUUUCAAGCAAACUGUACAUGAAUUUACCACUCUUGUGAUGAAAAAAAUCCACGAUCUUUUAGUGUAGUUUCUCUUAUUAACCAGAAUGCUCCAUUCACUCUUUUUGUCCAACUUUUUCCUGGAGGCUAUUCAAAAUAAAGGUGCUUCAGGGCACCUGCGUGGCUCAGACGGUUAAGCAUCCAACUUUGGCUCAGGCCAUGAUCUUGUGUUUCGUGAGUUCGAGCCCCACAUUGGGUUCUGUGCUGACAACUCAGAGCCUGGAGCCUGCUUUGGAUUCUGUCUCCUCUCUCUGCCCUUCCCCUGCUUGUGCUCUGUCACUCUCUCUCUCUCUCUCUCAAAAGUAAAUAAACAUUAAAAAUAAAUAAAUAAAUAAAUAAAUAAAGGUGCUUCUAGCAAUUUCAUAUGUAAGCACAAUGCAAAGCCUUACCCUGCCAUCAUAUUCCGACAUAUGAAUGAGCCAAAUUUAUUUAGCUACUCCCCUACACAUGGAAAGUUAGGAUGUUUCCAACAUUUUACCUUUAGAACAAUAACGCUGGGAAUGUCAUAAAUGUCUGCAUGUGUAUAUACACAGAAUAAAUUCCUCUUAGUAGAAUUUCUAGGUCAAAAGGUAUAUGCAAUUAAUAUUUUGAUAGAUAUUUUACAAUUUCUCUUUCCCAAAAAGGCUGUUGAUACAUAUCUAAUUUAUUUUAAAAAGUUUAAUUUUCAUAUAAAAAAAAUCAUAGAUGCCUUUUGUAGCCAGGAAUAUGAUACUAAGGUGUAUUUAAAAAAAUAAAAGGUGGGGCGCCUGGGGGGCCCAGUCGGCUAAGCGUCCGACUUCAGCUCAGGUCAUGAUCUCGCGGUCCGUGAAUUUGAGCCCCACGUCGGGCUCUGUGCUGACCGCUCAGAGCCUGGAGCCUGUUUCGGAUUCUGUGUCUCCCUCUCUCUCUGACCCUCCCCCGUUAAUGCUCUGUCUCUCUCUGUCUCAAAAAUAAAUAAACGUUAAAAAAAUUU
Molecule: long non-coding RNA, 10353 nt
Organism: Acinonyx jubatus (cheetah)
Lineage: Eukaryota; Metazoa; Chordata; Mammalia; Carnivora; Felidae
Exons: 2
Source: RefSeq, a predicted model, not a curated record